RNAcentral lists this long non-coding RNA (1381 nucleotides) under Piliocolobus tephrosceles (Ugandan red Colobus). RNAcentral describes it as "lncRNA (ENSPTEG00000032657.1)". Lineage: Eukaryota; Metazoa; Chordata; Mammalia; Primates; Cercopithecidae. The record is from RNAcentral.
AUGAAAAAUUCUGAAGAUAUAUAUUCUAAUACUAAUGUAGCAGAACAUAAAGAAAAUGUUAUUUCAGAUAAAACAGGUAAAACUACAAAUAAAUAUAUAGUAAACAACAAUCAAAGUAUUUUUCAAAAUAAUAAAAAUAAUGGAGAUGUUGAUCACCACCACCAUGUUGAAUAUAACAAUUGUGAUGGGUGUAACAAUCAUAGUAGUAAUAACAAAUUAUGUUUAAAUAAUGAAUGUUAUGAUGAAAAAAUAAAUAAUAACUUUAUUCACAGAAUUAAUACUAACAAUAAUAGUUACUUUAACAACACUACCAGUUGUAAAGAAUCGUAUGAUACAUCAUCAUAUUAUACUAAAGAGCAUACUAUACAAAAUAAUAGUUACUCUAAAGAUAAAAAUAUAUAUAAAAAUUAUAAUAACAUAAUACAAAAUGGUUUAAUUAGCUGCAAUGAUAAUACGUAUAAUAAUGUAAGUGAUACAUAUAAAGUGUUAUUAAAUGUUUGUUUAGAUGAAAUAAAAAAAUGUUUAGAAAAUCAAGAUAUUAGUGAAUCACACAUAAAUGGGUACAACACAGAUCAUAACAACACAGGUCAUUACAACACGAGUAAACAACACGAAUGCCAUUACCAAAUUAAUGAACAAACUACUGAUAGCUCAAAUGGUUAUUGCAAAAUACAGAAUAAUAAUAAUAUUUUAUAUAAUAACAAUAUAUAUAAUAACAAUUUAUGUGAUAACAAUUUAUGUGAUAAAAAAAAAAAAAAAUAUUUAAAUAAGAGAUAUUCCUCUGUAAAUAAUGAUAAUAUAGAAAAUCAUAAAAAAAUAGUAAAAAAAAGUAAAUUAUUUGAUAAUUGUAAUAUUAAUGAAUAUGAUAAAAUAAAUUAUGCGGGACAUAAAAUAAUGGAUAACCAUGUUUUUAUGUCUCAAAAUGACAAAAUAUGCAUUACAAAUGGUUCAUACGAUGAUAGAAUAAAUGCAACACCUUAUUGUAAUAACAAUAGUAGUUGCAUUGAUAGUAACUGCUAUAACGAUAGGAACAAUAAUACCGACCGGAAUAAUAGUAACAACUGGAACAAUAAUAACAACUGGAACAAUAAUAACACUUGCCAGCCGAGUAAGACACUCGGAAAAGAAGAAAAAGCAAAGGAAAUUGAAAAAAAGAUUUUAUUCGACAUACUAAACGAAAAAAACUUUAAUUUAGAUAAAAAUCAAAUAGAAUCUGAUUUAUUUAAUAUUUUUAAAAAUAUGAUAAAUGUGUUGACUUAUAAAUAUCCUCAACUGAAUAUUAAAGAUUUUUUUUUAAUAGUCAAGACAAACUAAAAAAGGAGUACGAAUUUAAUAGGGAAUUAUCAAUAAAAAAAACAAGUAUUAAUUGUAAUAAUAAUCA